AGUGAACGCUGGCGGUAGGCCUAACACAUGCAAGUCGAACGGCAGCACAGUAAGAGCUUGCUCUUACGGGUGGCGAGUGGCGGACGGGUGAGGAAUACAUCGGAAUCUACUUUUUCGUGGGGGAUAACGUAGGGAAACUUACGCUAAUACCGCAUACGACCUACUGGUGAAAGCAGUGGAUCUUCGGACCUUGCGCGAUUUAAUUAGCCGAUGUCGGAUUAGCUAGUUGGCGGGGUAAAGGCCCACCAAGGCGACGAUCCGUAGCUGGUCUGAGAGGAUGAUCAGCCACACUGGAACUGAGACACGGUCCAGACUCCUGCGGGAGGGCGCAGUGGGGAAUAUUGGACAAUGGGCGUAAGCCUGAUCAAGCCAUACCGCGUGGGUGAAGAAGGCCUUCGGGUGGUAAAGCCAUUUUGUUGGGAAAGAAAAGCAGCAGGUUAAUACCCCGCUGUUCUGACGGUACCCAAAGAAUAAGCACCGGCUAACUUCGUG
RNAcentral lists this ribosomal RNA (492 nucleotides) under uncultured bacterium. Its description in RNAcentral is "partial 16S ribosomal RNA". It matches the Rfam family "Bacterial small subunit ribosomal RNA", at positions 29 to 507 of the family's 1533-position model. The record is from RNAcentral.